GACGAACGCUGGCGGCGUGCUUAACACAUGCAAGUCGAACGGAAAGGCCCUGCUUUUGUGGGGUGCUCGAGUGGCGAACGGGUGAGUAACACGUGAGUAACCUGCCCUUGACUUUGGGAUAACUUCAGGAAACUGGGGCUAAUACCGGAUAGGAGCUCCUGCUGCAUGGUGGGGGUUGGAAAGUUUCGGCGGUUGGGGAUGGACUCGCGGCUUAUCAGCUUGUUGGUGGGGUAGUGGCUUACCAAGGCUUUGACGGGUAGCCGGCCUGAGAGGGUGACCGGCCACAUUGGGACUGAGAUACGGCCCAGACUCCUACGGGAGGCAGCAGUGGGGAAUAUUGCACAAUGGGCGGAAGCCUGAUGCAGCAACGCCGCGUGCGGGAUGACGGCCUUCGGGUUGUAAACCGCUUUCGCCUGUGACGAAGCGUGAGUGACGGUAAUGGGUAAAGAAGCACCGGCUAACUACGUGCCAGCAGCCGCGGUGAUACGUAGGGUGCGAGCGUUGUCCGGAUUUAUUGGGCGUAAAGGGCUCGUAGGUGGUUGAUCGCGUCGGAAGUGUAAUCUUGGGGCUUAACCCUGAGCGUGCUUUCGAUACGGGUUGACUUGAGGAAGGUAGGGGAGAAUGGAAUUCCUGGUGGAGCGGUGGAAUGCGCAGAUAUCAGGAGGAACACCAGUGGCGAAGGCGGUUCUCUGGGCCUUUCCUGACGCUGAGGAGCGAAAGCGUGGGGAGCGAACAGGCUUAGAUACCCUGGUAGUCCACGCUGUAAACGGUGGGUACUAGGUGUGGGGUCCAUUCCACGGGUUCCGUGCCGUAGCUAACGCUUUAAGUACCCCGCCUGGGGAGUACGGCCGCAAGGCUAAAACUCAAAGGAAUUGACGGGGCCCCGCACAAGCGGCGGAGCAUGCGGAUUAAUUCGAUGCAACGCGUAGAACCUUACCUGGGUUUGACAUGGAUCAGGAGUGCUCAGAGAUGGGUGUGCCUCUUUUGGGGUCGGUUCACAGGUGGUGCAUGGCUGUCGUCAGCUCGUGUCGUGAGAUGUUGGGUUAAGUCCCGCAACGAGCGCAACCCUUGUUCACUGUUGCCAGCACGUUAUGGUGGGGACUCAGUGGGGGACCGCCGGGGUCAACUCGGAGGAAGGUGGGGAUGACGUCAAGUCAUCAUGCCCCUUAUGUCCAGGGCUUCACGCAUGCUACAAUGGCUGGGUACAAAAGUGGCCGACCCUGUGAGGGUGAGCCAAUCCUCGGAAAAGCCGGUCUCAGUUCGGGAUUGGG
Molecule: ribosomal RNA, 1271 nt
Filed under: uncultured bacterium
Lineage: Bacteria
Description: bacterial SSU rRNA
Rfam family: Bacterial small subunit ribosomal RNA
Source: RNAcentral